UACAGAGGGGGCAAGCGUUGUUCGGAAUUACUGGGCGUAAAGGGCGCGUAGGCGGCCUGCUAAGUCGAACGUGAAAUCCCCGGGCUCAACCCGGGAACUGCGUCCGAUACUGGUAGGCUUGAAUUCGGGAGAGGGAUGCGGAAUUCCAGGUGUAGCGGUGAAAUGCGUAGAUAUCUGGAGGAACACCUGUGGCGAAAGCGGCGCACUGGACCACAACUGACGCUGAGGCGCGAAAGCUAGGGGAGCAAACAGG
Molecule: ribosomal RNA, 253 nt
Filed under: uncultured bacterium
Lineage: Bacteria
Description: partial 16S ribosomal RNA
Rfam family: Bacterial small subunit ribosomal RNA
Source: RNAcentral